This 253-nucleotide ribosomal RNA is filed under the name uncultured bacterium. Its description in RNAcentral is "partial 16S ribosomal RNA". It matches the Rfam family "Bacterial small subunit ribosomal RNA", at positions 524 to 776 of the family's 1533-position model. The record is from RNAcentral.
UACGUAGGGUGCAAGCGUUAAUCGGAAUUACUGGGCGUAAAGCGUGCGCAGGCGGCGCCGCAAGUCAGGCGUGAAAGCCCCGAGCUUAACUUGGGAACUGCGCUCGAAACUACUUGGCUAGAGUGUGGCAGAGGGAGGUGGAAUUCCACGUGUAGCGGUGAAAUGCGUAGAGAUGUGGAGGAACACCGAUGGCGAAGGCAGCCUCCUGGGCCAACACUGACGCUCAUGCACGAAAGCGUGGGGAGCAAACAGG